RNAcentral lists this ribosomal RNA (253 nucleotides) under uncultured bacterium. RNAcentral's name for it is "partial 16S ribosomal RNA". It matches the Rfam family "Bacterial small subunit ribosomal RNA", at positions 524 to 776 of the family's 1533-position model. The record is from RNAcentral.
UACGAAGGGGGCUAGCGUUGUUCGGAUUUACUGGGCGUAAAGCGCACGUAGGCGGAUUGUUAAGUGAGGGGUGAAAUCCCAGGGCUCAACCCUGGAACUGCCUUUCAUACUGGCAAUCUAGAGUCCGGAAGAGGUGAGUGGAACUCCUAGUGUAGAGGUGGAAUUCGUAGAUAUUCGGAAGAACACCAGUGGCGAAGGCGGCUCACUGGCCCGGUACUGACGCUGAGGUGCGAAAGCGUGGGGAGCAAACAGG